RNAcentral lists this ribosomal RNA (484 nucleotides) under uncultured bacterium. RNAcentral's name for it is "partial 16S ribosomal RNA". It matches the Rfam family "Bacterial small subunit ribosomal RNA", at positions 30 to 507 of the family's 1533-position model. The record is from RNAcentral.
AUUGAACGCUGGCGGCGGGCCUAACACAUGCAAGUCGAGCGGAUGAGGGGAGCUUGCUCCUGGAUUCAGCGGCGGACGGGUGAGUAAUGCCUAGGAAUCUGCCUGGUAGUGGGGGAUAACGUCCGGAAACGGGCGCUAAUACCGCAUACGUCCUGAGGGAGAAAGUGGGGGAUCUUCGGACCUCACGCUAUCAGAUGAGCCUAGGUCGGAUUAGCUAGUUGGUGGGGUAAAGGCCUACCAAGGCGACGAUCCGUAACUGGUCUGAGAGGAUGAUCAGUCACACUGGAACUGAGACACGGUCCAGACUCCUACGGGAGGCAGCAGUGGGGAAUAUUGGACAAUGGGCGAAAGCCUGAUCCAGCCAUGCCGCGUGUGUGAAGAAGGUCUUCGGAUUGUAAAGCACUUUAAGUUGGGAGGAAGGGCAGUAAGUUAAUACCUUGCUGUUUUGACGUUACCAACAGAAUAAGCACCGGCUAACUUCGUG